RNAcentral lists this ribosomal RNA (253 nucleotides) under uncultured bacterium. RNAcentral's name for it is "partial 16S ribosomal RNA". It matches the Rfam family "Bacterial small subunit ribosomal RNA", at positions 524 to 776 of the family's 1533-position model. The record is from RNAcentral.
UACGUAGGGGGCAAGCGUUGUCCGGAUUUAUUGGGCGUAAAGAGCGUGUAGGCGGCUUUACAGGUCCGUUGUGAAAACUCGAGGCUCAACCUCGAGACGCCGGUGGAAACCGUAAGGCUAGAGUCCGGAAGAGGAGAGUGGAAUUCCUGGUGUAGCGGUGAAAUGCGCAGAUAUCAGGAGGAACACCGGUGGCGAAGGCGGCAUCCUGGACCGGUAUUGACGCUGAGGAGCGAAAGCCAGGGGAGCAAACGGG